GCUUGUCUCAAAGAUUAAGCCAUGCAUGUCUAAGUAUAAACAAAUCUAUACUGUGAAACUGCGAAUGGCUCAUUAUAUCAGUUAUAGUUUAUUUGAUGGUUCUUGCUACUUGGAUAACCGUAGUAAUUCUAGAGCUAAUACAUGCAUCAAACCCCGACUCCUGGAAGGGGUGUAUUUAUUAGAUGGAAACCAAUGCGGGGCAACCCGGAUUCUGGUGAUUCAUAAUAACUUUCGGAUCGAUCCUCGGAUCGAAUCUCAAAUUUGAGAUAAAUCAUUCAAGUUUCUGCCCUAUCAGCUUUCGAUGGUAGUGUAUUGGACUACCAUGGCAGUAACGGGUAACGAAGAAUUAGGGUUCGAUUUCGGAGAGGGAGCAUGAGAAACGGCUACCACAUCUAAGGAAGGCAGCAGG
Molecule: ribosomal RNA, 409 nt
Filed under: uncultured Chrysophyceae
Lineage: Eukaryota; Chrysophyceae
Description: partial small subunit ribosomal RNA
Rfam family: Eukaryotic small subunit ribosomal RNA
Source: RNAcentral